AGUGAACGCUGGCGGCGUGCCUAAUACAUGCAAGUCGAACGCUUUUUCUUUCACCGGAGCUUGCUCCACCGAAAGAAAAAGAGUGGCGAACGGGUGAGUAACUCGUGGGUAACCUGCCCAUCAGAAGGGGAUAACACUUGGAAACAGGUGCUAAUACCGUAUAACACUAUUUUCCGCAUGGAAGAAAGUUGAAAGGCGCUUUUGCGUCACUGAUGGAUGGACCCGCGGUGCAUUAGCUAGCUGGUGAGGUAACGGCUCACCAAGGCAACGAUGCAGAGCCGACCUGAGAGGGGGAUCGGCCACACUGGGACUGAGACACGGCCCAGACUCCUACGGGAGGCAGCAGUAGGGAAUCUUCGGCAAUGGACGAAAGUCUGACCGAGCAACGCCGCGUGAGUGAAGAAGGUUUUCGGAUCGUAAAACUCUGUUGUUAGAGAAGAACAAGGAUGAGAGUAAAACGUUCAUCCCUUGACGGUAUCUAACCAGAAAGCCACGGCUAACUACGUGCCAGCCGCCGCUGUAA
Molecule: ribosomal RNA, 523 nt
Filed under: uncultured bacterium
Lineage: Bacteria
Description: partial 16S ribosomal RNA
Rfam family: Bacterial small subunit ribosomal RNA
Source: RNAcentral